Molecule: ribosomal RNA, 170 nt
Filed under: Mycoplasma haemofelis
Lineage: Bacteria; Bacillati; Mycoplasmatota; Mollicutes; Mycoplasmatales; Mycoplasmataceae
Description: partial 16S ribosomal RNA
Rfam family: Bacterial small subunit ribosomal RNA
Source: RNAcentral
ACGAAAGUCUGAUGGAGCAAUACCAUGUGAACGAUGAAGGSCUUUUUGGUUGUAAAGUUCUUUUACGAGGGAUAAUUAUGAUAGUACUUCGUGAAUAAGUGACAGCAAACUAUGUGCCAGCAGCUGCGGUAAURCAUAGGUCGCGAGCAUUAUCCGGAUUUAUUGGGCGU